Molecule: unclassified non-coding RNA, 1551 nt
Filed under: Anthonomus grandis grandis
Lineage: Eukaryota; Metazoa; Arthropoda; Insecta; Coleoptera; Curculionidae
Description: cOP9 signalosome complex subunit 3
Source: RNAcentral
AAAAAAAAACAAACUUCAAAAAUUUAUUUUUCAACAUUUCAUUACAUUUGGAGUUUUGGGAAAUUACUAUUUGGUUUCUAUGUUUUAGUUUGUAAUAAUUAGACGACUUUAAUGAAAUGGCAUCUGCCCUAGAGCUGUUUGUUAAUACCGUACGAAAUCUUUCUAGUCACGGUAAUCUGAGGGAGCUGUAUGAUACAAUAGGAAAAUCAAAUGAUAUCCUGUUAAAGAAUAUACAGCAUUUGGACAAUGUUCUUGAAACUCUUGAUGUCCAGCAACAUUCUUUAGGAGUCCUAGCAGUGUUAAUUGCUAAAUUUAGCAGUUCGAAUGUGACUUUACCAGAUAACCGGUUUAUGCAAGCACAAGAUUUUUUUUUGAAUUGUAAUAUAGAACAAGUAAAAAAAGCACCAGAUUCAUUUGCAGAGUUUUGUCAUCUUUUUACAAAUUAUUUAGUAGAACAAAAGACCCCUAUGAAAGGAAUUAGUUUGUUAAAACAUGCUAUUAUUAGACUAAAAUAUUUAUCAGAGAACCAGUUAACAUCUAUACAUGCCGAUUUUUGUCAGCUUUGUUUGCUUGCCAAGUGUUUCAAACCCGCCUUGCAAAUAUUGGAUGUGGAUAUUGUUAGCAUUUGCCAAGAGCUAAACCACACAAAUCCGAAUAGUCCCCAGUUUGAUGCCAAAUAUUUUUUACUUUACUACUAUUAUGGAGGAAAAAUAUACUUGGCAGUAAGGAACUUAGAGAGAGCCCUUUAUUUCUUUGAAGUAGCAUUGACAACUCCUGCUCAUGCAGUAUCACAUAUCAUGUUAGAAGCUUAUAAAAAGUUUAUUUUAGUCUCUUUGCUUCUACAUGGAAAGGUAGAGCAAAUACCAAAAUAUGCAUCGAAAGUUGUUAUGAGGUUUAUUAAACCUUUAUCACAGCCUUAUAAUGACUUGGCAAAUGCAUUUUUCUCAAACAACUCAGUGGAGCUGAACAAUAUAAUUCAGAAACAUACUGAAGUUUUUUCAAGGGAUCACAAUAUGGGACUGGUAAAGCAAGUUUCUUCAGUGCUUUACAAAAAGAACAUUCAAAGACUUACUAAGACAUUUUUGACAUUAAGCCUAUCAGAUGUUGCUAGUAGAGUCGGAUUACCAGGGCCUCAAGAUGCAGAAAAGCACAUUUUAAAUAUGCUAUUUUUUUAUAGAUUGAAAAUGGUCAAAUAUAUGCCACAAUUAACCAAAAAGAUGGUAUGGUGGUGUUUAGUGAUGAGCCCGAUAAGUAUUGUGGCCCUGGAGUUUUGAAAACUUUAGAAGAGGAAUUGUCAUUUUGUAUGGACCUUAACAAUAGGAUUUUGAUGAUGGAUGAAGAAAUUCAGGUAAAUUUACAUUAUGUGAAAAAAUCAGCAAGCCUUCAAGAAGAAGACCAACCUUCAAAGAGCACUUAUGCCAUGUAGCACCCCUUUCACAAGUUUUAACACAAUGUAUCAUAUUAAUAUUUAUGUUUGUAUUUGCUAGGCCCUCCACAUUCACCCCUGUAUAAGAAUCCUCAAUUAAUAAAAUAGGAAGUUAUAUUGCUUAA